This 376-nucleotide ribosomal RNA is filed under the name uncultured bacterium. Its description in RNAcentral is "bacterial SSU rRNA". It matches the Rfam family "Bacterial small subunit ribosomal RNA", at positions 524 to 898 of the family's 1533-position model. The record is from RNAcentral.
UACGUAGGGGGCAAGCGUUGUCCGGAAUCAUUGGGCGUAAAGAGCGCGUAGGCGGCCAGAUAAGUCCGGUGUGAAAGUCCCAGGCUCAACCUGGGAAUGCCGUCGGAAACUGUCUGGCUAGAGUCCGGAAGGGGCCAGUGGAAUUCCCGGUGUAGCGGUGAAAUGCGCAGAUAUCGGGAGGAACACCAAUGGCGAAGGCAGCUGGCUGGGACGGUACUGACGCUGAGGCGCGAAAGCGUGGGGAGCGAACAGGAUUAGAUACCCUGGUAGUCCACGCUGUAAACGAUGGGCACUAGGUGUGGGAGGUGUCGACUCCUCCCGUGCCGCAGCUAACGCAUUAAGUGCCCCGCCUGGGGAGUACGGCCGCAAGGCUAAA